Molecule: transfer RNA, 68 nt
Filed under: Euplotes harpa
Lineage: Eukaryota; Ciliophora; Spirotrichea; Euplotida; Euplotidae
Rfam family: tRNA
About the family: Transfer RNA (tRNA) molecules are approximately 80 nucleotides in length.
Source: RNAcentral
CGAAGUGGCACAGCGGGAGCGCGCUAGGCUCAUAACCUAGAGGUCGAUGGAUCGAAACCAUCCUUCGC